Molecule: ribosomal RNA, 406 nt
Filed under: uncultured bacterium
Lineage: Bacteria
Description: partial 16S ribosomal RNA
Rfam family: Bacterial small subunit ribosomal RNA
Source: RNAcentral
AUUGAACGCUGGCGGCAGGCUUAACACAUGCAAGUCGAACGAGCGGCAGCCGGGUGAGUAAUGUCUGGAAAACUGCCUGAGGUAUGGGGAUAACUACUGAAAACGGUAGCAAAUACCGCAUACCAUCAGGUGUGCCGCGCGGGGAUGAGCUCGUAGGUGGGGUAAUGGCGCACCUAGGCGACGAUCCCUAGCGGGUCUGCUAGGAUGACCAGCCAAACUGGAACUGUGACACUGUCCAGACGCGUACGGGAGGCAGCAGUGGGGGAUAUUGCAUAAUGUGCGCAAGCCUGAUGCAGCCAUGCCGCGUGUGUGAAGAAGGCCUUCGGGGCGUAAAGCUCUUUCAGCGAUGAGGCGUUACGCGCAGAAGAAGCACCGGCUAACUCCGUGCCAGCAGCCGCGGUAAUAC